GAACGACGCUGGCGGCGUGCUUAACACAUGCAAGUCGAGCGAAGUAUUCAAGAUAGAUUUCUUCGGAUUGAAGUCUUGAAUAUCUUAGCGGCGAACGGGUGAGUAACGCGUGAGAAACCUGCCUUUCACAAAGGGAUAGCCUCGGGAAACUGGGAUUAAUACCUUAUGAUACUUACAUUUCACAUGAGAAGUAAGUUAAAGCGCAAAGCGGUGAAAGAUGGUCUCGCGUCCCAUUAGUUAGUUGGUGAGGUAACGGCUCACCAAGACCGCGAUGGGUAGCCGGCCUGAGAGGGUGAACGGCCACACUGGAACUGAGACACGGUCCAGACUCCUACGGGAGGCAGCAGUGGGGAAUAUUGCACAAUGGAGGAAACUCUGAUGCAGCGACGCCGCGUGAGUGAAGAAGGCCUUCGGGUCGUAAAACUUUGUCCUAGGGGACGAUAAUGACGGUACCCUAGGAGGAAGCCCCGGCUAACUACGUG
RNAcentral lists this ribosomal RNA (482 nucleotides) under uncultured bacterium. Its description in RNAcentral is "bacterial SSU rRNA". It matches the Rfam family "Bacterial small subunit ribosomal RNA", at positions 32 to 507 of the family's 1533-position model. The record is from RNAcentral.